AGGAGAAAUAGGGAAUAUGAAAGGCAAAUAUUAACGUACCCAAAUUGUAUCUUGUCGAUUAAGAGGCUUCUGGAGGAAUAUGAGGACGUCGGUAGAGAGACAAAGACCUCUCCAGGAGGAAGGUAGUAUUCAGUAGGUUUGAUUGGUUAAAUAUGAUUAUGAUUACAAUUGCAAUUUGCAACCCCAAAAAUCUGGAGACGAAAAAGAAGAAAACAAGCAAGCACGAUUAAGGGAGGCCAGGUGUAUGACAACUUUCUACUUUCUUCCGCUAAAAUUAGAUGACGCGGGUAUUCGGGUUCACAUGUGCGGCCGGCAUAUAUAUAUAUAUAUAUAUGCACGGGGACGAUUUAAUAUAUGAAAGUAUCUUUUAAUUUAAAUUAAAAUUUAUUUUAAUCAACAACAAUAACAACAUACCAAGUGUAUUCCCAUAGAGUAGGAUCUGAAAAGGGUAGAGUAUACGCAAGAUCAUACCACUACCUCAGAUGAAGUAGAGAAAUUCUUUCCGAUAGACCUCGGCUUAGGAUUAAUAACAGUAUAACAAACACAAAAGAUAAGUGCAUAUAAAUUAGUACGGUAUGCAAAAAUAAACUAACAGCGCCAGCCACAAGAUAAUACUACAACCACAAGAUAAUUCUAAGGACUAUCUAACCAAAAUCAUAGACAUCACACAACACCACGAACAAGAAACUUUAGACACAAAAGAACGCUCCCCUACUGUUACCGGCGCACUCCCAUCCCUUAACCCUCUACUCUAGUCCGCGUCCUCCACACCUUCUUAUCAAGGGUCAUGUCCUCCUUAAGCUGUAACUGCUUCAUAUCAUGCCUAAUUACCUCCCUCUAAUAUUUCUUCGGUCUACCUCUAUUCCACCUAAAAUCAUUCAUAGUCAGUGUCUCAUACCUCCGCACUGGAGCAUUAGAGCCCCUCCUCAUCACGUGUCUGAACCAACAUAACCUCACUUCUCGCAUCUUGUCCUCCACCAAAGCAACUCCGGCCUUCUCCCUAAUAAUCUCAUUCAUCACUCUAUCUUUCUUGGUAUGUCCACACAUCCAUCGCAACAUCCUCACCUCCUCCACCUUCAACUUUUGUAUGUGGAGAUUAUUAACUGGCCAACACUCUACUCCAUACGAUAUAGUCUGUCGGACUGCCACUCUGUAGAACUUACCUUUAAGCUUCGGGGGCACCUUCUUAUCACAUAAACUCCCGAAGUGAGCCUCUGUUUCAACCACCCUGCCUCAAUAUGAUGCGUGACAUCCUCAUCAAUUUCACCAUUGCCCUAAAUCAUAGAUCUCAGAUACGUGAAACUCUCCCUCUUCUGAAUAGCCUGGGAGUCCAGCUUCACAACCACUCCAACCUCCUGCGAUACAUCACUAAACUUACACUCCAAGUACUCCGUCUUGGUUUGGCUUAACCGAAAUCCUUUAUACUCAAGCGUCUGUCUCUAAAUCUCCAACUUAUCAUUAACUCCUCCCUAAGUCUCGUCAAUUAGUACCACAACAUCUGCAAAUAACAUACACUAAGACACCUCUCUUUGAAUAUAUCUCGUCAAAACACCCAUCACCAAGGCAAAUAAAACUGGGCUAAGAGUCGAUCCCUUGUGCAACCCUAUCAAAACUGAAAAAUGCUUCGAAUCUCCACUUACCAUCCCCACACGAGUCUUCACACCAUCAUACAUGUCCUGAAUCGACUCAACAGAAUUUAUCCCCUUUCAGAUUACUUCAUCAAAAAAGAAAAAAAAUUAUGACCUAACAUAAUUUCAAGGAUUUCAAUAACUUCUGCUAUGAUAUUCAGUACUAUUUCUAUUCUCAAUUAAUUAGUCUGAUAUCAAUGAGCUACAAUCUAGUUCCAUAAAAUGUUUUGAUCCUUCUUCAAUGGAAAAGCAAAUAGAGCACCUUACUAACUUUUACAGCUACAACAUAAAAAAGUAAAGUUACAGCAAAACAAUCAUAAAAAAACAUAGAAAAAGGAACAAGAAAUUAAUAAUCACAUAUGUAUAUGAUAAAUUUUUUUUGACGCAUCCACAAUUUUUCGUCUGAAAACAUAGAGAAGAACAAUUUUAAUAUUGUAUAUAUGGAAUUAGCACUAUCAAAAGCAGAAAAAAUUAUUGAAAUUUGAUUAUUCGCAAAAGCGCAUAUGUACAUUUGAUAAAGUUUGAAUCUUUCAAGACACUCAACCGAAGGCAUUAUAAUUUAUUUGUUUUAAAUGAAGAAUAAUCAACAUAGGCAAAGGAAACAAGGAGAAAUAGACCGGUUGCUGGUGGUGAGAGGCGGCACACGGAAUUAGCUUAGAUGCAUGAAAGCUAACCCAAACACUGCGAUUUUUUUCUUUCUUUUUAAAAAGGAGAAAUAGGGAAUAUGAAAGGCAAAUAUUAACGUACCCAAAUUGUAUCUUGUCGAUUAAGAGGCUUCUGGAGGAAUAUGAGGACGUCGGUAGAGAGACAAAGACCUCUCCAGGAGGAAGGUAGUAUUCAGUAGGUUUGAUUGGUUAAAUAUGAUUAUGAUUACAAUUGCAAUUUGCAACCCCAAAAAUCUGGAGACGAAAAAGAAGAAAACAAGCAAGCACGAUUAAGGGAGGCCAGGUGUAUGACAACUUUCUACUUUCUUCCGCUAAAAUUAGAUGACGCGGGUAUUCGGG
This 2632-nucleotide long non-coding RNA is filed under the name Capsicum annuum. RNAcentral's name for it is "long non-coding RNA (CANN_LNC004156)". Lineage: Eukaryota; Viridiplantae; Streptophyta; Magnoliopsida; Solanales; Solanaceae. The record is from RNAcentral.